RNAcentral lists this ribosomal RNA (560 nucleotides) under uncultured bacterium. RNAcentral's name for it is "bacterial SSU rRNA". It matches the Rfam family "Bacterial small subunit ribosomal RNA", at positions 337 to 917 of the family's 1533-position model. The record is from RNAcentral.
UCCUACGGGAGGCAGCAGUGGGGAAUAUUGGACAAUGGGCGAAAGCCUGAUCCAGCAAUGCCGCGUGAGUGAUGAAGGCCUUAGGGUUGUAAAGCUCUUUUACCCGAGAUGAUAAUAACAGUAUCGGGUGAAUAAGCUCCGGCUAACUCCGUGCCAGCAGCCGCGGUAAUACGGAGGGAGCUAGCGUUGUUCGGAAUUACUGGGCGUAAAGCGCACGUAGGCGGCUUUUUAAGUCAGGGGUGAAAUCCCGGGGCUCAACCCCGGAACUGCCCUUGAAACUGGGAAGCUAGAAUCUUGGAGAGGCGAGUGGAAUUCCGAGUGUAGAGGUGAAAUUCGUAGAUAUUCGGAAGAACACCAGUGGCGAAGGUGACUCGCUGGACAAGUAUUGACGCUGAGGUGCGAAAGCGUGGGGAUCAAACAGGAUUAGAUACCCUGGUAGUCCACGCUGUAAACGAUGAUCACUCGCUGUUUGCGAUAUACAGUAAGCGGCUAAGCGAAAGCGUUAAGUGAUCCACCUGGGGAGUACGAUCGCAAGGUUGAAACUCAAAGGAAUUGACGGA